CCUCAUAAAGUAUGUCGUAGUCCGGAUUGGAGUCUGCAACUCGACUCCAUGAAGUCGGAAUCGCUAGUAAUCGUAGAUCAGAAUGCUACGGUGAAUACGUUCCCGGGCCUUGUACACACCGCCCGUCACACCAUGGGAGUGGGUUGCAAAAGAAGUAGGUAGCUUAACCUUCGGGAGGGCGCUUACCACUUUGUGAUUCAUGACUGGGGUGAAGUCGUAACAAGGUAACCGUAGGGGAACCUGCGGUUGGAUCACCUCCUUACCUUAAAGAA
Molecule: ribosomal RNA, 272 nt
Filed under: Klebsiella pneumoniae
Lineage: Bacteria; Pseudomonadati; Pseudomonadota; Gammaproteobacteria; Enterobacterales; Enterobacteriaceae
Also listed under: 1 other name
Description: partial 16S ribosomal RNA
Rfam family: Bacterial small subunit ribosomal RNA
Source: RNAcentral